AUACGGAGGGUGCAAACGUUAAUCGGAAUUACUGGGCGUAAAGCGCGCGUAGGUGGUUUAGUAAGUCGGAUGUGAAAGCCCUGGGCUCAACCUGGGAAUUGCAUUCGAUACUGCUUGACUAGAGUAUGGUAGAGGGAAGUGGAAUUUCCGGUGUAGCGGUGAAAUGCGUAGAUAUCGGAAGGAACACCAGUGGCGAAGGCGACUUCCUGGGCCAAUACUGACGCUGAGGUGCGAAAGCGUGGGGAGCAAACAGGAUUAGAUACCCCGGUAGUCC
Molecule: ribosomal RNA, 274 nt
Filed under: uncultured bacterium
Lineage: Bacteria
Description: partial 16S ribosomal RNA
Rfam family: Bacterial small subunit ribosomal RNA
Source: RNAcentral